Molecule: non-coding RNA, 2279 nt
Organism: Meleagris gallopavo (turkey)
Lineage: Eukaryota; Metazoa; Chordata; Aves; Galliformes; Phasianidae
Source: RefSeq, a predicted model, not a curated record
UUCUGUUUGAAGACACUGUUUCCAUCAGCAUGUCUUAAUAUACUAAACGUGUCCCCUAAGCCCAUCCUUGAAGCUUGGUGCUACGAUUCCCUGGUACAACUUUAUGGUUUGGAAGACUUGUGUACACACACAUUCCGACAUAGCAGAGUCCCCUACAACAACCAGGAGCUACAGUUAUAAUUUCAUUGCAUGUUUCAAACCUGAAGUGGGACAGAAGUCACACGACUGGAAACAAAAUAGCUCGUGAAUGGUGAUUUAUUUACAGAGACUGCUUCCAGCAGGAGCACUCAGUCUGCAUCUCACGCUUCCGUUGAAUAUUCAGUUUGACCCAGUGUCCACGGCCAUUGCUAAUGGUGCUCUCAGCUGUGCAGAGAGGCUCUGUUGAUUGAGGACCACCGCGGCCCUGAUGGUCUUCAAUAUUCUGUGUUUUAUUUUAACAUACAAAAUGUGGUCUGACGUGCUGAUCAGAAAACUCUCGAGCCUCUUGUACAGUGCUCAGGCUCUGCUCUGAACUUCUGUAUUUUAAAGAUGCCUAUUCCAGCUGCCGAAUGUGCACGGCUACCGUGGACGGUGACUGCACCCAAAUGUGACAAUAACAGAAGCUGAAGCUGACAGAUGUCCAGGUGUAACCCGCACCCGGAGAGCAAAGGAAUAAUCUGCUGAACCCAUCGCAGUAAAAUGGAUUGUUUUAAAUUCUUCACCUACUCCAAAAAAAAUCCAAUGUAACAAGUCUCAGCCUCCAAUCCUCCAAAGGCAUGCUUAACUUUAUGCACACAUAUGGAUCUGUUGAUUCAGAAUGACUGCUCACUUGUAUGCCUUAAAAAAUGCAGAUGUGUAGCCAGGCCUUUGCGGGACCGAGGCUUUCUCGACCGUUCUCUCUAAAAUGCCCUCCUAAAUUCAAAGAUGGCAAUAUUUUAAGCAGACUGACACAAAUCUCACGUGAAUUUAUUUUCAUAAGGUUCCUAAUGGAAACGGCUGCGCAUUUACAUUGACUUUUAUAUUGAGUGUGAUAACAACAUUCAUAUAUGGAAAGCCAAGGAGCGGUGAUAUCAUUAAUACAUAUAUCAGUCCCAAGACUGAGAUGCUGGAAGCACGAGCCCUACGGGUAAUGAUAUUGAUGGCUCUGGUUCUUCUUGAGGUAAAACUUGUUCCACUGGAGCUCAGCCCUCAGGAGCAAAAUGCCCUACGUGAAAUGCGUCGCCUUUGAAAAACCUUCACUCUGUCUCCAAUUAUUGUAACGGUGAAUAUCUGAUAUGAGCUGCUAGUGCGUUCACAAAUUAAAAGAGAAACCUAAUGAUAUUGCUUAUGUUCAUGCUGAGCAUUAAAAGGUAAUGUCUAAAAGGUUUUAUUGUGUUAAUAAAACUCCGAGGUGGUCAAGACUUGAUGCACAUAGGAAUAGAAUGCAAAAUAAUCAGUCAUAAUGUUAUGACUUCAUUUUUCAUUUGUGUUUUCAAGUUUGCCUUGAAAAUCUUAGAUUGCGCUACAAGAAAAAAGACAAUAUUAUAUCAAAGAAAAGGAAAAAUUAUAAGCAUGACUUAUCUUUAAUGUUUUACAUCAAAAUGGAAUUUCUGUGAUACGUGUCAUGUGCAUAAACAACACAGGCAGCUUUUGUCUUUGUUGAAUUUAAAUGAAAAGUCCCUCUAGAUAUUAAUAUGUGGACUUCAUUUGUUAGCCUGCUAAGUCAGGGACUUAUAACAAAAGCUUUGUAAACAAAAGAUUAAACUGAAUCGAGCUUUCGAAAAUGAAAGGAAAACAAGAGUCAAAUAAUCACAGAUCAGAGUGGGGCUGCUUAGAUUGAAAUCACUACAAGCUACUGGAGUGGAAAAUGUUUAAUUGAACUGUUUCAUUACGCAGGAAGUUUAUGUCCCUCUUGUAGAAUCCAAAAUAUUUGUAUCCAAAAAUCCCUUCUCUUUCUUUAAAAUACAGUUCUGCAAGCAUCAGAUGCGAUCUUAAAGGUUGUUGAAUAACUUCAUGGCAAAGAGUGAAUGCAGAAAAUAAUAGGUCAAAGGUAAGAAUUCAGGUUUGUGGAUUUUGCAGCUUGAUGUACCUACUGAAGAUGCUGAUACAUUAGACAGAGUUUGUAUGUGGCAUUAUUUUUGCAAGUGAUAAGUAGUAUACGGCACCGCUCAGAAACGUACGUGAAAUUCAAACAAAUGAAAGCUUUUGAGUCCUUACUCACCUUUGGUAACCGUUCGGGAUCACCUGGAUGUCGUGGAAUAACUUUCUGCAACCUCUGAAAGCCAUAAUCUAUGGUUGGUUCAUUAAGUGCUAGAACAUAA